CCGCAGCCUCGCGUCCUCUCGCGAGCCCGAGAGCCUCCCGUCGGCCGCCGGGCGCGCGCGGGGAGGGGGAGGGGGAGGGGAGGGGAGGGGGAGGGGAGGGGGGGAGGGUGGGCGGGUCCUCGGGGGUCCCGUGGCCGCCCGCGGGCUUCCGGGAGGCGGGAGAGCGGGUCCCGGGCGCCGCCCUGGGCUCCCCGGGCCGCUCCCGCCGUGCUCACCCCCGGUGGCUCCCCGCCGCCGGCGUCGCCGAGUCCCGAAGCCUUCGGCUCGGGGUUGUUCGGAGAGCGAGCGCGAGCGCGGGGCGUUCUUGGCGCGUGUACUUAGAGGUCGGAAUCACCAGGCGGUGCCUUCAGGCAGAAUAGAUGGUGAAGGUCCACCCAGGAUGGACGAUCUCUCUGCAGCCUCCGCUAGUGUUUGGGAAGCUCUGUUCUCCAACCGCCAAACGACCGACCUCUGCCCAGGACAGCGAAGUGUGUGCAGGAUAAUGGGAGAACCAGGGAUGCCUAGGAGGCAGGAAAGUAUUCCCGUCCUGCCAGUUCACGUUGUGACAUGUAGAACAGCAGAGAAAGCUGUUCAAAACUCUGCCUGUAACCUUGCGUUGGAACAAGCUUGACUGCGAUCAAGCCCAGCUGCUGUAAUCAGUGUUUCUGAAAAAAAAGAGAUCUCUUUGGGCCCAGCCUGGGGUCUGACUGUCCGGUCAUCAAGUCCCUUUGAAAACGUGAGCCUUAAAGUGAGCUAGAGGUUUGGUGGUUCCUCAGAGAGUUGAACAUAGAAUUGCCCUGUGACCCAGCAAUUUCACUCCUAGGCGUAUACACAGAAGAAUUGAAACAGGCGUUCAGAGAAAACCUUGUACGCCUGUGUUCGUGGCAGCACUAUUCAGAAUAGCCCAAAGAGGUGAACAACUCACAUAUCCAUCCUUGGCUGGACGGACAGACAAGAUGUGGUAUAUCCGUGCAACGCAGCUACUCAGCCACAGAAAGCAGCGAAGUACUAGCACGUGCUGCAACCUGGAUGCACCCUGAAAACGCUCUGCUGUGUAAAAAAGCCGGCCACAAAAGGCCACGGAGGGUAAGGCUCCGUGUGUGUGAAAUGCCCGGAAGAGAUGAAGCCAUAGAAACAGCAGCUGAGUCGUUGCCAGGGGCAGGGAGUGGGCGAGCGGGGAGAGACUGUUCAGUGGGCAUACGCUUUCCUUUUGGGGGGAUGAAGAUGUUCAGGAACUCGAUAGUGGCGAUGGCUCACUCACAGACCAUUAGGGGUGUACUAAAUGCCCCCAGGGUGUGCACUUUAAAAUGGUCAAAUCAUGGAUUUAAUUAGGUAAAUUUUGCCACAAUUUAAAAAAGAAAAAAAAAAUGAGGUAGGGAAAACAAUCGUUUCCAUAAAGGAAAAGUCAUCGGAGUCAUUUAACAUCGAAGUACCCACAGUGUGGAAUAUUCAGUGAGUGAAAGUGUGAUUGUGUUUUGGGGGUUUUUUGGUUUUGUUUUGUUUUUGGCUGUGCAGCCUGUGGGAUCUUAGUUCCCUGACCAGGGAUUGAACCCGGGCCCUCGGCAGUGAAAGCACGGAGUCCUGACCACUGGACCGCCAGGGAAGUCCCUCAUUAUGUUUAAGGUAACACUAACAACUUAAAUUAUUUGCAGCAGAAGCACAUCUAUUCUAGCUGUUGCUUCAGGUUACACUGUCAUGAUAUGAGUGAUAUUCUAGUUUUCAGAUAAAUUGUUUCAUAACUGAAAAAAAAAAUCCAGACUUUUUAAGGGAAUAUAAGUUCUGUUGGUUGGAAUUGGAUCCGCCGGCUGCUCCUUUUCCAGUAGACCCAGAUGUGAACUCCUUGGAUACACCUGUCUCAGCCAGUUCGUCAAUAUGCCGGUGCCCCGAGGAGCUGUGAUGAAACGAUUAAACAGUUAAUUAGUGGCAGUGCUCUUUUCUUUCUGGGAACAUAUAGUGGUAAGCAGUCUUGCUAGAUAAAUAACGAAGGUGUGACUAAAAAUGUAGAAAUACAUUUCCAGUUGGCUUUUCUCCUCUCACGUGGUCACCUCAGGAUGGAUCAAGCCCUUUCUAGCAGUACUGUCAAUUCCUGAAAUCUACUAUUUGUAACUUUCUGUUGGAACUGAAGGAUAAUUUUCCUUACAGUCACAGUUUUUUAGAAAGUGGCAUUACUUAGCUCGUUUACCAAACUCCGUGCCAAAUAACGUCGGGCUGUUCACAGAAAUCAGUACUUUUCACAAAGGACAAAACUUUGUCACCCUCAGACACAUUCAGAAGGAUUUGCCAGAGGCUCUAGGAACAAUUCCAAAAGAGGAGUUAAAAUUUUUUUCUGGAAUGAUGGGACAUGCACUUUAAAUAAGCGUUUCGCCUGCCAAGGUGACUACUCUCUCUUCGGGACAGGACCACACCCGUUCAGAUAUGUUUGUUUAAGAAUCAGUCCCAUUGCUGGCUGGUGAAGCCCUGUGUGAAUUUUCUAAUGAGGAUGACGGCACGCCCAGGGUCCUGUUAUUGUGACUCCACUGUUGUCUCACGUCAUUGUCAACAGGCGGACUCUGAUUCUUUGUUCCGGGUGGAAGAGGCGUGGGUUUCUCAUGUCUUCCUUUCUGUCCUAGGAAAGGAAGGGAAUUCCCUAGCCCUCCUGUAAUACAAAUCCCGUACAGUUGUGUGUGUGUGUGUGUGUGUGUGUGUGUGAGAUUUUCAACCGCCCCAAAGCACUUUGACCUAGUUGAUCUCAUUCUCUGCUCACAAUAGCCUGACGAGGAACACCCAGCUUUAAGCUCACUCCCAGAGCAGGAGGAAGCAGAGGGGAAGAAAGCUCUGAGUGAUGUGCUCACAGCCUGGCUAGUUGCAGAGCCAGAACUAGAAAUCCCCCCCACCACCACCUUUUGACUCUGAAUCCAGGGCUCUUUCUGAUACGUCCAAAAGAGGCGGUUCCCUGAGUGCCCAGGUGUGCAAAGACUGAAUUUAAGAAACAAGUUGUUAAGUUUGUUUGUUUGUUUAUUUGUUGGUUCGUUGCUUGGUCUGUUUUUCCAGCCCCUUUCGGGCUAACUGCCACCUCAAAGUUUACCAGUUCUGAGGCCGGGUCUAGUAAGAUGUUCUGUGAUGGAAAUCAGGCUCUGGUUUGUAAAAUGUUCCAGGUGGCUGAUGUAGAAAUAAGAAAAGAGAAGCCACGCUUAUGGCAAUAUUUACAUGGUGGCGGAAGCCCCAGAUGUUCCCUUAACGUGAGUUCAAUAUGAAAAGGGAACUUUUUUUGUUAUGAAGUGCGAUGGUGCCCCUACCAGAAUAAGCCUCUCCUGUGGAAAGUUUCGCAUGAAACUAAGCCUAUGGAAUUGCAUUGUUGGUGGGUUUUGUUGCUGUUGUUAUUAAAGGAAAACAUGAUUUUAAUUAUUGGUUGUACUUUUCUCAGUCUCCAAGAAAGAGCUGUGAGCUGCUGUUGACCAGCUGUGACCUCACUCAGCUUCUCCAAAGUCAAAAGCCUGUGUCUGAAAGACACACACCAGCUCUCGCAGAAACCUUUCCACCUUGCUUACUGCAUCAGACACAUUUAUGGGCAGUCUAUUUAUAAAACACUCAACGCAAGGCUUUGCUUGGAAAUCUGAGGUUCUUUCUGGGAAGCUUGAAACAUCCCAGCUCAGUCUCUCUCCUUUCUUUCUCCUUACAGCUUUCCAAGAUGAGGACGACUUUUUACGUUUUAUUGCCUGUGAGCAGGCUGCCCCUUUCCAGUAACACGUACGGGUCCUCUAACACAAGCUCUGUUUCUCCAGACAAGUUUAAGUGUGCAAAACCUCAGCUGAGUCCUGUAUCUGAACGUCCUCUGCUCCCAACCCAGCUGCUGCUGAGGUCUGUCCUUGGAACGUGGACUAGCAGGCUUGAGCCUGCUGCUUGCUCCUGGCUAGCUGGCCAGGCAGGUAGCAUCACACAUCACGGCCUAGAGACCUGGCCUUGGCCUCAGUGUAAACACCAGGACGAGUUGACCAUCAAGCAGUGAGGGCUCCCCCAGGGGCGCUGAGAAAUGGUCCAUGUGGCCUUUGUCAGGCUGUGGUGGCCUGGCUCCCUGCUGCAAAUCACGUCAUCACCGCCUCUGCCUCCAGACUCCUGUGUCAGCUGCUGAGGAAGAGAAGGGCUAGCUCAUGGCAGGAUUCAGGGAAAGGCACCAACCACUGUGUGAGAAUCGCAGUCAGAGCUCUGGAAGAUGAGCCCUGGCCACAGAGGUCCUUCUCUCCCUCUCUGGCUGCCUGUCUCUUGGCCGUGGAGGGUUUUGCCAGGCCCACACACGAGAGGUUGAGGAGGAGGUAAGAGCCAGAGGAAGUGCUUCCUUGUGUGGCAAGCAGUUUCGCACUGUGAUUGUUUCCCUUUCUUUGCUAAUACGCAGAACAGUAAUUGGAAAACGUCCCAUAAGCAGCGCGCUGAGGUAAUCUGCUUUCCUGGUUAAACCCUACGAAGCACAUCAGAGUGUCUGCUAGUCGUUUCGUUUCCCAGAGAGAGAGUGGUGCACGGGAGCUUGGGGAGAACUCGGUUAGCAUAUCCGAGCCUUGCCUCUCCUGUCUGUAAAAUGGGAGCAUUUAUGCCUCAAGGUACGUCCUGAGGAUUAAAUUAUGGAACAAAUACACUCCGUCUCGGCCCAUGCACGAGAGGUUGGUUUUAGAUUAUUUGAGGGCAAGGCCACCAGACUUCUUUAAAAACCUUCUGAAGGUUUGGCAGUAUUGUCCUGGUCGCACAUUGCCCCACAUAUUUCCUGAGCUCUUCCUUCUAUGGUUUAAACAUCUCUCUUCUAGAGAACUACAUUCAGUGUCCUAUGAUAAACCAUAACGGAAAAGAAUAUAUAUAAAAACAGACUGUAUGUGUAUCUGUGACUGAAUCACUUUGCUGUCCAGCAGAAAUUAACACAACAUCGUGAAUCAACUAUACUCCAGAGAGAAAGAAAGAAAGAAAGAAGAGAGAGAGAGAGAGAGAGAGAGAGAGAGAAAGAAAGAAAGAAAGAAAGAAAGAAAGAAAGAAAGAAAGAAAGAGAAAGAAAGAAAAAGAAAGAAAGAAAAGAAAGGAAAGAAAAGAAAUCUCUCUUCCCCCAUACAGGGUCUGUUGAUACAACAGUGAGAAAAACACAUGCUUAUUGGGGGUUGUGCCCCAAAUCUGAACACUGAAGAAGGGCGGGGUUUAUUAGUUUCCACCAGCACUAGGAGCGUUAAGUAAGGAAUCACCUCGACCAGCAAGCAGAGAUUCAAGUGGAGAUGCCAGCACAGUGCAUCCAGAGCACGGGCUUUGUCUUGUAAUCUGUAAAAUGGGUACAGUAAUCCCAGAGUAUUUGGGGGGAGUUAUAUAAAGUGACAGAGCAGGCUUUUAGUCUAUGUCACCAUGUUUCCUUCUGUCAAAAGUAUUCGCUUGUCCAACUGAUGAAGUAGCACCUGCACCGUCAAGGUCGUGGGGGCGAGGGGAUGCCUCAGCCCACCCGCCAGGCUCUGUGCACACCCCUC
Long non-coding RNA from Hippopotamus amphibius kiboko, 5447 nucleotides. RefSeq lists it as uncharacterized. The record is from RefSeq and is a predicted model, not a curated record. The transcript is spliced from 3 exons. NCBI's taxonomy places the organism in Eukaryota, Metazoa, Chordata, Mammalia, Artiodactyla, Hippopotamidae.